AUUCCGGUCAUUUUAAAAAAAAUUGUGCUUGUUUUCAACUUAAUUUUUAAGAAGUUUAUAAAAUUGGAAUUAAGAUCAACAAUUCAUUCAUUAGUUAUUGAGGUUUAAAUCUAUUGUAGAAAUUAUUAGGAUUUGGUUAGGAUUUGAUUUAAGAUUAGGGUUUGGUUAAGGUUUGAUUUAGGAUUUAGGAUUUGAUUAGGAUUUAAUUAGGGUUUGAUUUAGGAUUAGGAUUUGGUUAGUGUUUGAUUUAGAAUUAGGAUUUAGUUUAGGAUUUAGGAUUUGGUUAGAGUUUGAUUUAGGAUUAAAGUUUCGUUAGGGUUUGAUUUAGGGUUAGGAUUUGAUUUAGGAUUAGGAUUUGGUUAGGGUUUGAUUAAGGUUUGGUUUAAGGUUUAGGAUUAGGAUUAGGAUUUGGUUAGAAUUUGGUUUAGGAUUUAGGAUUUGAUUUAGGACUUAGGAUUUUAUUUGAGUUUAUUUAAGAUAUAAGCUUUAGUUAGUUUUUGGCCUAAAAUUUGAAUGAAGUAAGAUUUCAACUAGGAUUAUAUUAAGAUUGAAUUGAGAUGUAUUUGAGAUAUGUUUGUAAUCAUUCUAAUAUUUCUUUAAGAUUUCUUAUUAUUUCUUUGGAAUUCCUUUGAGGUUUCUUUGAAUUUGAUUAAAGUUUGUUUAACAUUGUUAGUAUUCUAUUAGAGUUAGAAUUUUGUUGUUACAAUUUCUAUUCUACCUUUUACAGCCAGGUGCCCAGAGUAUUCUCAAGCAAGACUUCACGUAUUACGACAACAUUUGGAUCAUAUAGAAAUUGAUCUAAUCGACAAAAUCGAGCAUUCAAUA
RNAcentral lists this long non-coding RNA (825 nucleotides) under Physcomitrium patens. Its description in RNAcentral is "long non-coding RNA (PPAT_LNC005951)". Lineage: Eukaryota; Viridiplantae; Streptophyta; Bryopsida; Funariales; Funariaceae. The record is from RNAcentral.